This 8482-nucleotide long non-coding RNA is filed under the name Triticum aestivum (bread wheat). RNAcentral describes it as "long non-coding RNA (TAES_LNC025620)". Lineage: Eukaryota; Viridiplantae; Streptophyta; Magnoliopsida; Poales; Poaceae. The record is from RNAcentral.
UUUCUUUUUAGUUGUUUUUUAUUGUCUUUUUCAUUUAUUUAUUCCUUUCCUACUUUGCAUUAUAUUUGAGCUACUAAAACAGUUUUGUUUAAAACAAAACUUGGCACAAAAAUACAGUGCAAUAUUCUGGGUUGCUACAAAAGGUUUCAAAGCAUUUGGGAGUGUUCAACUAUUUAUAGAAAUUGAAUAGGUCAAUUAAUUGUUGCCGGACCACUUAAUUAAAUUCCAGGGGCAUUUUGUGAAUUCACAUGAGGUUGGUUUUCAACAUGACAAUGAUCAGGGGAAUUUAUAGAAUAAUGUGAACAAUUUAGUUUUGACAAUUGAAAAGAAUUAUUUUUUACUUUAAAUUUAAAUUUGAAUUUGAACCGGUUUCGAAUCAACAUGAGUUUAACAACAGUGAUCGUGGUGACGUGGCAUCAUUUGUGUGUGAUUACUGUAGCUUAACUACCGGGGUGUUACAAAUCUCCUCCACUACAAGAAAUCUCGUCCCGAGAUUUAAGUGGUGGGGUAAGGGGAAAAGUUUUGGUUACGAAAUUCUAAUGGAUCUUCUUGGUCUUGCUUGCUCUUCUCUAAGAUGUCGAUCCAUUACGUUGAUGUCUUCAUUCCUAUGCUCCAGGUCAUCAUGAUGGAGUCGGCGUCCUUUCUUCAGGAACUCCAUCAUACUUACGAAAGAAUAAAGGGUGGGCAUUCUGGGAGAACGGACCUGCAAUGUUGACUAUCUAGUAGCCAACCUCAAGGUGGCGGAAAGUAACUCUCGAACUGAAACUUAAGAAAAUACCGAGAGGAAAGUAAGAAAGUACCAUGAGAAGUUUCAAGCGGCUAGGCAAUCGCUCGGUGCCUAAAACAAAGUAUAAAAGGGGGUCUAGAGCAAUGGGAAUAAGUUUUGUGUCUGAUACCAGAACUGAUGAUAUCUCAGAAGGUGGAUCGUGAAUUACAUAUGAGGCCACACGCGAGGAAUAACUUUGGAAACAGGAGGGCGUACAGGAGAGUCAGGUUUCGAUCCUGUGGAACUGUGGGUUAUGGGCCCACCAUGUGGGUUAAAAGCAGGAAGGCACUAACAUUUGCACGGUCAAGAUAGCAAGGUAUGUCAGAGGAUAGCCUGUCAGUUUUGUUGGAAACAACGUUGGUACCUAGGGCAAGGGACGAAGAGAACCAUUUUCCCGCUCGUCGGACGAGGCGGACCAAUAGGCAAGGUUCUCGUCCAUCGGUGGUUACCAGAAUGUCAUCAACAACAGUAACAGGGUCUUACUAACAGAGGGGUACAACGAGGUGCUCACCUAAGCAGGGAAUUAUCACUACUCAGUUGAGUAGAUUACGAGAAAGAUUAAACAAAACAAUGGAAAGGAAAAUGUGAUCAUCAGAUUAAACAGAACAGUGGAAAGGAAAAUGUGUUUAACACAUAUUUCAAGGGUGUACCUUCCCAACGACAAGGGGAGCAAGAUAUCCACGACAGGAUAUAAAGUAGAAAACCAUUUAGGUAAGGGGAGAUAAAUUUCAUGACAUUACCCAUGCAACAGUGUUUGGAUAAUUGAGCACGAAACAUUUAGCAUUGGGCUUCAAAUGUUCUUGUUGAAAAUCGGAGUACCACAGACAUGCUUCGAGAUAGCAUUGACAUGGUCACUGUGUAAAGAUCCGACUUUGGAUACACAAAGGAUCCAUCAGGAACAUCUUGUAUAAUAGGUCUUACAAUUUCCUCAUGGAAGAAUGGAUAAUGUUACUAAAAUGGAAACUAUGACAAUAGGUCCGCCGUCCAGGUGUCCUAGGCAUGACGUCACCUUAUCGGGUCAAAGACUAAUGUUAUAACUCCUGGAAUUAUGUUCCAACCAUCAUGUCUGACCGAGAUUCAAAUCUGAUUGGUGCCAGGAUGCCUCAGACUCAGGAUGCCUGAGGAGAAAAGGUGCAACACAAUUGACGAGACGACAUUGUAAGAUUCUCGGGAAAUGUACUAUGGAAGCGAGUUCCGAAACAAGAGUUCAUCAUUAAAACCAAGGAGAGGAUGAAGAGGUGGCUGAUGAACUCAGCGAAAAUUCAUUGAGAUUUUCAAAAGAUGGAUUUCCACACUUAUGUGAACAAGGAGAUAACAUUUGUCGAAUCAAAUGAUAUAAGGAUGUAUGCUCGAGGAAAACAUACACAAUUAAGCAUUGGUUGAAAAGUGCACCCAAAAUAUGGUCUUAGGUAGCAUGAUCAAUGUUAGAAAGGUAAUUCAACAAGCAACAGUCUAAGAAUGAAAUAUCGACCAUUAACUUGAAAGCAAUAGGGUUGCUAGAAACACGAACAAGUUUGUGUUGAACGGAAGACAAUAAAGUGGUUGAUGAUAACACAAAUCAUCAAGGGCAAGGAUGGUAUUUCUCAUCAUGAAUUCGAUUGAUAUCCUGGAAGGAGUCAAGAUGUUGAUAAUGAUCAUGACAAAUUUUGUCGAGAGGUUCCACGAAGAAGCAAUCAAACAACGACUACAUCAAACAACAUGGCUGAUGCAGAGAAAGAUUAUUGGAACCACAUAUACGACACAAACUCGAAAUCGAGAUUGUUGUCCAAGGCGAAAUGAUACGAUGAGGAAAAUCGACGUCAGCUUAGCUCAUCAUCAAAAUUUGUGCUCCGGGAAGAAGGACCAGGUAGCACAGUUAAAAUCAUCACGAUAAUGAUAUAGCCAAACAAGUUAAGAAUGACGUGAUCGGGUAUAAUCCAUAAGUAAAGAAGAUUACUAAAGGUUGUUGAACCGUAGUGCGGACUCGAUUCAGUUAUCGGUGUCUGUUUAAUAACUUAGAGCCCGUGAAAAGUGGAAUCAGUGAGAAUGCAGUACUUGAGGAAGAACUCAUAAAUUAUGCAGUUCAUGAUAAUCUCGAGAUACCAGGGGGUAAUACUCGACGACAGAUCAAAGUAGAGGUCAGACUAGGGUAUUGCUCUGUAGAAGAUAAGUGCUUAAACUUGCACGAGAAAUGGUAUUUAAAUGAGAACAUGGUCGGAACCACGAUUGCAAAAGAUCAAUUCACAGAUACCAAAUGAUAAGGGAGUAACUAUUAUUACAAGAAGCUUCCAUGAUAGGGUAUACAUCGGGUCCAUGGGCAUGAACACAGGGUUCAAGGUCGACUCCCACUUGUUCAACGUAUAACCUUUCAUUCACCUCUCGCUUUUCAAAAAUGACAUUAGUUGUUGAAAGUUUUACCUGGUGCAAUACUAGAUGAUUAUGACCCGUGGAAUCUUUCGGGUUUACACAGAGUAAGGAAGGCAUAGGUUUAGUCCAUCGGGGCAUCUUACGAACACAUAACCCCAACUUCAUGAGCGAAUAACUCAAGCUCGGGAGCAGAGCAUGGUUGACAAAAGCAGGGGAUACAAUUUACAAAAGGCAUUAUGUAUCCGAUGAAAGGCUCACAAGUUUAAUGAAUAUGAAGGACGGUGUCGGACAAAAUCCAACAAAGGAUCUGGUGGUACAUAAGGGAUCUGAUGUGAGUAUCAGUACUCAACCAGAGGAAGAAAGAAUGCAAGGAUAUCAGAUUAUAGAAACAACUGACUAACUCAAAGCUCAAAUGCAAAGGAAUUAUGAAUUCCAAGACAAGGGAUCAGAAGCAAUGCUCUGAUUAGGGAUGGAUAAGUUGAAUAGGCUUACGGGUACAAUCGAUGGCAAUUUGGUUGGUCGAGAUCCAGCUCACGUUUAAAAUGACGUCUGAGCCGGAAGGAUAAUCCUAGGAUUCGACUGAUGAUUGUGAACAUUUGCAACUUAUUGAAUCAAUGGACUCAAAAAUGAUAGUGACCAAGGAUGCCACUAGUAUUUGUAUACUUAUGGGAUUAACCAUAAUGCAAGCAAGCAAGAAUUUCAAGAGCAAUAGGCUGCUCAGGAUUUUCGUAAGACCGAAUGAUAUUUCAAAAACUUUUGUGAAACACAUGAUCAAUGGGGAAUGGUUGUAUGAAUGGCAAGUGUAUGUCGUAGUUAUCCAUAAGGAUAUUACGGUGGUAGGGAAUUGCAAAGGCGAUGAGCACAUGUUCUCGGGAGAACAUCGAAGAGUAUCUUCGGAUUCUUCUGGUGUAGUAGUCGACCAUCGGUAAUAAGAUUCUCUCCAGGUGAAAGUGACCACGAGAUCCUAAUGUUAGAUUUAGCAAAAUUCAUUUAACCCGAAUAGAGGGGAGAUCAGAGUCCCAGAGCAUAGAUCGAGGAGUAAAAGAUACUAAUACCACCCAAUGGCGACGUGGGCCCGUAAGGCACACAACCAUGUUAGUAAAAGUUUUUGUAAUGUCUAGACUCGACUUCGGCCAAGGAGUGUGCAAGGGGGAUUCCUACAGGCAGUCGGCUCUGAUACCAACUUGUGACGCCCCCGAUUCAAUCGUACACUAAUCAUACAUGCAAACGUGUACGAUCAAGAUCAGGGACUCACAGGAAGAUAUCACAACACAACUCUACAAAUAAAAUAAGUCAUACAAGCAUCAUAUUACAAGCCAGGGGCCUCGAAGGCUCGAAUACAAGAGCUCGAUCAUAGACGAGUCAGCGGAAGCAACAAUAUCUGAGUACAGACAUAAGUUAAACAAGUUUGCAUUAAGAAGGCUAGCACAAACUGGGAUACAGAUCGAAAGAGGCGCAGGCCUCCUGCCUGGGAUCCUCCUAAACUACUCUUGGUCACCGUCAGCGGGCUGCAUGUAGUAGUAGGCACCUCCCGAGUAGUAGUAGUUGUCGUCGGUGGCGUCGGGCUCCUGGACUCCAACGUCUGGUUGCAGCAAUCGGAUAUAGGAAAGGGGAAAAGGGGGAGAAAGGCAACCGUGAGUACUCAUCCAAAGUACUCGCAAGCAAGGAGCUACACUACAUAUGUAUGCAUUGGUAUCAACUGGAAUAAGGCUAUUAUAUAUGGACUGAACUGCAGAAAGCCGGAAUAAGGGGGAAAAGCUAGUCCUUUUGAAGACUACGCUUCUGGCAACCUCCAUCUUGCAGCAUGUAGGAGAGAGCAGAUGGUAAGUUCACCAAGUAACAUCGCAUAGCAAUAAUCUUAACCGAUGAUCCUCCCUUCGUCACCCUGUGAGAGAGCGACCACCGGUUGUAUCUGGCACUUCGAAGGGUGUGUUUUAUUAAGUAUCCGGUUCUAGUUGUCAUAAGGUCAAGGUACAACUCUGGGUCGUCCUUUUACCGAGGGACACGGCUAUUCGAAUAGAUUAACUUCCCUGCAGGGGUGCACCACAUAACCCAACACACUCGAUCCCAUUUGGCCGGACACACUUUCCUGGGUCAUGCCCGGCCUCGGAAGAUCAACACGUCGCCGCCCUACCUAGGCCCAACAGAGAGGUCAGCACGCCGGUCUAAAUCCUAUGGCGCAGGGGUCUGGGCCCAUCGCCCUUUGCACACCUGCACGUUGCGAACGCGGCCGGUGAGCAGACCUAGCAACCUCCAUUACAAAGGAAGUUGCGUUAUGCGGUCCAACUCGGCGCGCGCCGCUCAGUCGCUGACGUCACGAAGGCUUCGGCUGAUACCACGGCAUCGAGUGCCCAUAACUGUCCCCGCGUAGAUGGUUAGUGCGUAUAUGCCAGUAGCCAAACUCGGAUCAAAUACCAAGAUCUCGUUAAACGUGUUAUCUUGAAGACACCGCUAACGUCGACCAGGGCCAGGACCACCUUUCUCCUAGGUGGUCUCAACCUGCCCUGCCGCUCCGCCACAAAGAUCCACCCAGAGGGCCGUCGGGACAAAGGUCCUUUCAGCCCCCAAUCCGUGAAUCACUCGCGGGUACUCCUCGAGCCAACCCGACUUUAGUCAUCACAUGUAUCAUGUAUACAGUAUAGGUAUAUACCCGUGAUCAACUCCCGAGUGAUCACGGCCCGAUAGUAUAGCAUGGCAGACGGACAAUAAUGUAUGGCCACUAAUGAUAAACUAGUAUCCUAUACUAAGCAUUAGGAUUGCAGGUAAAGGUAACAACAGUUGUAGCAAGAAUGACAUGUUAUGCAUCAGGAUAGGAUUAAUGCAAAGCAGUAACAUGCUACACUACUCUAAUGCAAGUAGUAUAGAGGAGAGUAGGCGAUAUCUGGUGAUCAAGGGGGGGGGCUUGCCUGGAGGCUCUGCGGAUGAAAGGAAUCUUCGGAAGCGUAGCCGUAGUCGAACACCAAAGCAUCAAUGGUCUCUGGGUCUAUAGCGGUAUCGGAGUCUACCGAAAAGAAGCAACGAAGGGGAAACAAAUAAAUAACAGAGCAAACAAUAGCAUCACAAAAUAUAACAAGGCAAUACGCGGUGUCAGGGGUGAGCUAACGCAAGGAUAGGUGAUACCGGCGAAGGGGAAAACAACCGGAAAAGUUUUCCCGGUGUUUCGUGUUUUCGGACAGACGGACCGGAGGUGAAAGGUUGCAGGUUCGCUAUGCUAGGGACGUAUGGCGGACAAACGGAUUGCGUAUCCGGAUUCGUCUCGUCAUUUUGAGCAACUUUCAUGUACAAAGUUUUUUCAUCUGAGCUACAUUUUAUUUUAUAUUGAUUUUUAAAGUUUUAAUUCAUUUUCCAGAAUUACUAAAAUUCUGCUAAGUCCUUAGUUUUAAAUAUCAUUUAGCUGUUUUCCAGAGGCUAUAACUAGUCUUCUAUUCAUCCUAUGAAUUGGUGCCUUAUACCAAUAUUGAUCACUUUCAUGUGGUCUACAAGAUGGUAACAACUGCAUCAUUGUUAGAUCCUUGUAUCAUGUUUAUUUCCUGCUCCAAAGUUGCUAUAGCAGUAUAUCUGUCUUUUUACUUCUGCCAGUUAACAGAAUAUAGACUUUUGUCAUUUUCAUAGGAAUUAAUCCACGCAACUUUUGGAUUUGGUCCAAUGGAAAGAAUUGAACCUUGUCAAGUGUACUACCUGCACAUAUUUAUUUUAGCUAUGUUGAGCUUUGUUUAGAUCCUAUUUUGAGGCUGUUUAGGGGGCUAACCAGUUCGGUUUUAGAAAAGCUAGCAGCACUGUAGCAGCGCUGCACUAGUAGCAGCAGCAUUAUAGCAAGCAGCGGCGCUCGUGGCAGCGAUGCAGCAGGAGCAAGGCGGCAUCACGGCAGCAGGGGCAAGCGGGUGCGUGUGUGGCGGCAGAGGCUGCAGGCGGAAGGGCGUGGGCGCGGUUGGAGGAGGCGGGCAGCAGAAGGAGGAGGCGAGGCGAUCCGGAGUGCUCGGGCGCGAGCGGCAGCGGCGACCAGCGCGGCGGUGCGCGUCGAGCAGCAGUAGCCAGCGGACGGCGCAAGGCGCGGGCAGAGGGCGGCACAGCAGGCGUGCGAGCGUGAGGCGGCAUGGGCUCGGGCACACGGGGCGUGGACUGGGCGGGGGCGACGCCGCUCGGGACGCGGGGGUGGGCGCGAUGACCGCGGCCACUAUCAGGAGCACGGGCGGCGCGGACGACGGCCGAGGAGCACGGCGGCUGAACCGCAGACGCGGCGAGUAGCCAAGCGCGUAGGGGUGGCUGUGCAAGCAGGCAAAUGGCGGGGGGGGGCGCGGGAUGAGCUAUGGACGAAGGCGACAAAAGCUACAGCGUGGCAAGGCGGAGCAUGGCCACGGGUGAGGGGAGUGAAGGACUCGGGCGGGCGAUCUAGACAGGUAACAGGAGAGGGACGGGAUGGGAGCCUCACCGUGGAGGCACACAUAGGCCCAGUGAAAGCUUAGGAGCAGUAGGGAGUGGCGGAUCGACGCGGACGACGACAGUGAUCCGAGGAAGAAGGCGAAGUGGGCGACGGCGCUGGUGGUCCUCCUCGUCGAUCCAGGAUCGUAGGCGAUGGUGAUUGCCGGGGAUGCAGAAGACGGGACCAGCUCGAUCUGCGUGCAAUGGCAUCGCCCAGCUCGAAUGGACGGCUUCAGAUGACGAAGACGAGCGAGGUGGUGCUCGUGGAGACGAGCUACGGGCGCGGAAACGCUGGUGGCCGCGACGGAGCAUGGUGGUCGGUGACGGCCGCGCUCGAGAGAUGGGGAAUCGGUGAGGAGGGAGAGAGCAAGGUGAGUGGAGAGCGCUGGGGCAUGUGGAAGUGGGCGGAGGCAGGGGAAGAAAAUAUCUAGGAGGGGUGGCUCGGUGGAGGCCUUAUCCUGCUGGCCAUCGCCGGUGAGGGGGUUCGACGGGGACGAGCACGAGUGGACGCUCGGUCGGACGCGCCCGAGGUACAGGGAACAGGGGCGAGGGGUUAGAGUGUGCCGGCUGGACCAGUUGGGUCAAGGCCCAGGGGGCAUGGGGUUGUGGGGCUUUUCUUUUUAGUUGUUUUUAUUGUCUUUUUCAUUUAUUUAUUCCUUUCCUACUUUGCAUUAUAUUUGAGCUACUAAAAAAGUUUUGUUUAAAACAAAACUUGGCACAAAAAUACAGUGCAAUAUUCUGGGUUGCUACAAAAGGUUUCAAAGCAUUUGGGAGUGUUCAACUAUUUAUAGAAAUUGAAUAGGUCAAUUAAUUGUUGCCGGACCACUUAAUUAAAUUCCAGGGGCAUUUUGUGAAUUCACAUGAGGUUGGUUUUCAACAUGACAAUGAUCAGGGGAAUUUAUAGAAUAAUGUGAACAAUUUAGUUUUGACAAUUGAAAAGAAUUAUUUUUU